This 253-nucleotide ribosomal RNA is filed under the name uncultured bacterium. Its description in RNAcentral is "partial 16S ribosomal RNA". It matches the Rfam family "Bacterial small subunit ribosomal RNA", at positions 524 to 776 of the family's 1533-position model. The record is from RNAcentral.
UACGUAGGGUGCAAGCGUUGUCCGGAAUUAUUGGGCGUAAAGAGCUCGUAGGUGGUCUGUUGCGUCCGCUGUGAAAACUCGGGGCUUAACCCCGAGCCUGCAGUGGAUACGGGCAGACUAAAGUGUGGUAGGGGAGACUGGAAUUCCUGGUGUAGCGGUGAAAUGCGCAGAUAUCAGGAGGAACACCGAUGGCGAAGGCAGGUCUCUGGGCCACUACUGACGCUGAGAAGCGAAAGCAUGGGGAGCGAACAGG